Molecule: ribosomal RNA, 910 nt
Filed under: uncultured bacterium
Lineage: Bacteria
Description: bacterial SSU rRNA
Rfam family: Bacterial small subunit ribosomal RNA
Source: RNAcentral
AGAGUUUGAUCAUGGCUCAGGAUGAACGCUAGCGGCAGGCCUAAUACAUGCAAGUCGAACGAGCCUUGUUCUUUCGGGAACUUGGUUAGUGGCGCACGGGUGCGUAACGCGUAUGCAACCUACCUUCCACUGGGGGAUAGCCCCGGGAAACCGGGAUUAAUACCGCAUGACACUGUUUGAGGGCAUCCGAAGACAGUCAAAGCUGAGGCGGUGGAAGAUGGGCAUGCGUGCCAUUAGCUAGUUGGUAGGGUAAUGGCCUACCAAGGCGACGAUGGCUAGGGGUUCUGAGAGGAUGGUCCCCCACACUGUUACUGAGACACGGACCAGACUCCUACGGGAGGCAGCAGUAGGGAAUAUUGGGCAAUGGCCGAGAGGCUGACCCAGCCAUGCCGCGUGCAGGAAGAAGGCCUUCUGGGUUGUAAACUGCUUUUAUCAGGGAAGAAAACGCUCCUGCGGGAGUAACUGACGGUACCUGAUGAAUAAGCACCGGCUAACUCCGUGCCAGCAGCCGCGGUAAUACGGAGGGUGCAAGCGUUGUCCGGAUUUAUUGGGUUUAAAGGGUGCGUAGGCGGCCCGUUAAGUCAGUGGUGAAAUCCCAGGGCUCAACCCUGGAACUGCCAUUGAUACUGGCGGGCUUGAGUUCGGUCGAGGCGGGCGGAACUGGUGGUGUAGCGGUGAAAUGCAUAGAUACCACCAAGAACCCCGAUUGCGUAGGCAGCUCGCUAGGCCGAAACUGACGCUGAGGCACGAAAGCGUGGGGAGCGAACAGGAUUAGAUACCCUGGUAGUCCACGCCGUAAACGAUGAGUACUCGAUGUUGGCGAUACACAGCCAGCGUCCAAGCGAAAGCGUUAAGUACUCCACCCUGGGGGAGUACGCCCCGCAAGGGUGAAACUCAAAUGAAUUGACGG